AUGAAGUUUGUGAUCACAUCAGAUUUGAGGUGUAUUUAUAACAAUCACAUAAAUGGAAGGUUGCAGGACGAUUUUGGAAAUGUCAAUGGCGUCAACAAAGACAUCGGACAAGAGCUAUCAUAUAUUCUAAUUCAGACACAAGUGAUGAUACAACAAUGCUCUUCGCCAAAUUCUAAUUCAGGCGAGCAUAGCUUAGCUUGGGACCAUGCCCGUGCAACAGUUAUUGUCAUCUUCAUGCCCCAUAUAAGUUGCUUCUGUCAUGCAUAUAAGACAAAGACGCCAUCAACAGCAGCGACACACAUAGUGAGGUCAUUGCCUGACAGGAUUUUGCUUUGA
This 336-nucleotide ribosomal RNA is filed under the name Triticum aestivum (bread wheat). RNAcentral describes it as "partial small subunit ribosomal RNA". The record is from RNAcentral. Lineage: Eukaryota; Viridiplantae; Streptophyta; Magnoliopsida; Poales; Poaceae.